AGGAUAAACGCUGGCGGCGUGCCUAACACAUGCAAGUCGAACGUCUCUUCUUUCGGGAAGAGGAGUGGCGGACGGGUGAGGAACACGUGGGAACCUGCCCUUUAGUGAGGAAUACCGGCGAGAAAUCGCCGACAAGACCGCAUAGCCCUCUUUGAUGAGAGUCAAAGAAGGAAAGCUUCGCAAGAGGCGCUAGAGGAGGGGCCUGCGUCCGAUUAGCUAGUUGGUGGGGUAAGAGCCUACCAAGGCGUCGAUCGGUAGCUGGUCUGAGAGGACGAUCAGCCACACUGGGAUUGAGAACGGCCCAGACUCCUACGGGGGGCAGCAGUGAGGAAUUUUCGGCAAUGGGGGAAACCCUGACCGAGCAACGCCGCGUGCAGGAAGACGGCCUUCGGGUUGUAAACUGCUUUUCUUUGGGACGAGGAAGGACGGUACCAGAGGAAUCAGCCCCGGCUCACUACGUGCCAGCAGCCGC
RNAcentral lists this ribosomal RNA (472 nucleotides) under uncultured bacterium. RNAcentral's name for it is "SSU rRNA". It matches the Rfam family "Bacterial small subunit ribosomal RNA", at positions 26 to 518 of the family's 1533-position model. The record is from RNAcentral.